CAAUUGUUUUCUGUGGUCAAUGAAUCAUGUUCAAAUUCAUUAUCUCUUUGCAUUCUCAGAGGGUGAGACAUUGGGCUGCAGAGAAAUGAAGUGAACCUGCUAAGCCGAUUGUCAAAUGGAUGAGAAACUCAGAGCCAAGGAUCGGGAAAACACCCUUAAAGAACGAGGUGAUGGCUGAGUCUGUCCCAGUGCAAACUUCUGCUCCUGGAGGCUCCCGUUCACUGGACUUUGCAGGAGACACACAGGCUCCCCAGACCCCGUGGUGGUGCCUGAUGACCUUCAGCUGAACCCUGUAAUGCUGCUAAAGUCUGCCCCUCUGGAGAAGUGCUCAGGUAGCAUUGUUCUGCCUCAGGAAGCAUGCCGAUUUUCCUGUGUCAUCCUUGAUGAUCACUGCUACCAGACUUGCCCCCUGCAGGCCACCCCAUGUGCAAGGAAUUCAACAACCUAGGAGUUGAAAGCAUUGGUCUCCCAAGUUCAGUGUGUUCUUUCCCGUAUCUAUUACCAGCUGAUGAGAAUAAACCUGCAGUCAUGACAGCUAGGUCCUAGUGACAGGUGCAGAAAGCUGCUCUUACAGAAACUCCCCUCCUUAUUAAGAGGCUUUGUCUAUCACUCGGAACUGCUUCUGCGCAAGAUUAUCUGUUGAAAGGGAACUGUCCAUACCAGGGCAUUGUUCUGACUUUUCUGGACUUCCUCAACCCAAAAUGCCUUGAAGAAAAAAAAAAAGACACUGAGUGUUAGGGCAGGGUCUCUGUCUCCAGGCUGGAGUGCAGUGGCACAAUCAUAGCUCACCGCAACCUCUAACUCCUGGGCUGAAGUGAUCCUCCCACCUCAGUCUCCUAUGUUGCUAGGAUUACAGCGUGAGCCACUGCCCCAGCUACUCCAACUUAAGAGUUCCCCCAAGGCUGGCUGCCCUUCUCCUCUCCUUCCAUCAUGAAUGACACAUGGGCAUCCCCUUCGGCUAGCAUGGCUGACCUGUGCCUGCCUGGGUGCUCAGCUUGGCACCCAUGUGAGUUUGCAGCCUGAAAUUUUAAAUGGAGGAGUUUCUGUGCUUUUCUGCCCUGAUUCCUCUUACUGACCCUCUAAGUCACCAGCUGUGGUCAUCUCCUCUUUGACCCCUGAUCUCAACCCGGGCUUUGAAAUGUGUUUGUUCACAUAAUUGUCCAUUACCCAUCCUUCCUGUCAUUGCAGAAUCUGUUGUCUCAUAC
RNAcentral lists this long non-coding RNA (1205 nucleotides) under Pan troglodytes (chimpanzee). Its description in RNAcentral is "long non-coding RNA NONPTRT009187". Lineage: Eukaryota; Metazoa; Chordata; Mammalia; Primates; Hominidae. The record is from RNAcentral.